GAGCAUAUCCGUAGACCUUGUCUGACUAUUCAUGGCAGGCCAGGGGGAACAGUGUAUGCAAGAUUAAUAGGAGUUUAUGAGUUCUAAGCUUUUUAAAUCAGUAACUGGGUAGUUUGUAAUACUCCAACAAUC
Small nucleolar RNA from Grammomys surdaster, 132 nucleotides. RefSeq annotates it as small nucleolar RNA SNORA58. The record is from RefSeq and is a predicted model, not a curated record. NCBI's taxonomy places the organism in Eukaryota, Metazoa, Chordata, Mammalia, Rodentia, Muridae. The transcript has a single exon.